AUUGAACGCUGGCGGCAGGCCUAACACAUGCAAGUCGAACGGUAACAGGAAGAAGCUUGCUUCUUUGCUGACGAGUGGCGGACGGGUGAGAAAUGUCUGGGAAACUGCCUGAUGGAGGGGGAUAACUACUGGAAACGGUAGCAAAUACCGCAUAACGUCGCAAGACCAAAGAGGGGGACCUUCGGGCCGCUUGCCAUCGGAUGUGCCCAGAUGGGAUUAGCUAGUAGGUGGGGUAACGGCUCACCUAGGCGACGAUCCCUAGCUGGUCUGAGAGGAUGACCAGCCACACUGGAACUGAGACACGGUCCAGACUCCUACGGGAGGCAGCAGUGGGGAAUAUUGCACAAUGGGCGCAAGCCUGAUGCAGCCAUGCCGCGUGUAUGAAGAAGGCCUUCGGGUUGUAAAGUACUUUCAGCGGGGAGGAAGGGAGUAAAGUUAAUACCUUUGCUCAUUGACGUUACCCGCAGAAGAAGCACCGGCUAACUCCGUG
Molecule: ribosomal RNA, 490 nt
Filed under: uncultured bacterium
Lineage: Bacteria
Description: partial 16S ribosomal RNA
Rfam family: Bacterial small subunit ribosomal RNA
Source: RNAcentral